This 4187-nucleotide long non-coding RNA is filed under the name Homo sapiens (human). Its description in RNAcentral is "HSALNT0396277". Lineage: Eukaryota; Metazoa; Chordata; Mammalia; Primates; Hominidae. The record is from RNAcentral.
CUCUACCAAUCAGCAGGAUGUGGGUGGGGCCAGAUAAGAGAAUAAAAGCAGGCUGCAGGAGCCAGCAGUGGCAACCCACUCAGGUCCCCUUCCACACUGUGGAAGCUUUGUUCUUUUGCUCUUUGCAAUAAAUCUUGCUACUGCUGGCUCUUUGGGUCCACACUGCUUUUAUGAGCUGUGACACUCACCGCAAAGGUCUGCAGCUUCACUCCUGAAGCCAGCGAGACCACGAGCCCACUGGGAGGAAGGAACAACUCCAGACGCACUGCCUUAAGAGCUGUAACACUCACUGCGAAGGUCUGCAGCUUCACUCCUGAGCCAGCGAGACCACGAACCCACCAGAAGGAAGAAACUCCAAACACAGCUGAACAUCAGAAGGGACAAACUCCAGACGCGCCCCCUUAAGAGCUGUAGCACUCACCACGAGGGUCCGCGGCUUCAUUCUUGAAGUCAGUGAGACCAAGAACCCACCAAUUCCAGACACAACUGCACCCAGCCAUGAAAAGUUAUUUUUAAAAGUCUUCAUAUUUACAAGUGCUGAGGUAAGUGGUCCUGCCUAACCCACGAUGGUUAUAAGCAACAAUAGCUGAAAUGGAGAUCUUUUUGAAAUGCCUUAAGUGAUUUAUUUGUGUGGGCAAUUAAAAAAGAUGCUAGUCUUGGCUGGGUGCGGUGGCUCACACCUGUAAUCCCACACUUUGGGAGGCCGAGGCGGGAGGAUUAUGAGGUCAGGAGAUCGAGACCAACCUGGCUAACACUGUGAAACCCUGUCUCUACUAAAAAUACAAAAAAAAAUUAGCCGCGCGUGGUGGCAGGUGCCUGUAGUCCCAGCUGCUCCGGAGGCUGAGGCAGGAGAAUGGCGUAAACCUGAACCCAGGAGGCAGAGCUUGCAGUAAGCCGAGGUAGCGCCACUGCACUCCAGCCUGGGCGAUAGAGCGAGACACCCCUCAGGAAAGAAAAAAAAAAGUUGCUAGUCUUAGAACCGGAAAAAUUAAAUGAGAGACUUUCAGUGGGACUUAGAAGCUUCUAAACCUCCAACUGUUUCCCCUCCUCUUACCCCGUGUGCUAUUGUGGCAGUAGAGUUCUCCCUGACAACCACACAACCAGGCCUACAUGACAGUCACACAGACAGGCCUGCAUAGCACUUGUGUUACACAAACAGAUUUCCACAGAGCUGCCUUAAAAAUUGAGCAAAUAGUCCAAACUAGGGAAAUAGGUGCCCAGACAUAAAAGCUAGAAAUGAAACAUAUGGUCAGUAGGAGCCUUGCACAGGCUUCUCCCUAACCUGGAACAAGUCAAAAUAAUAGAGACAGUCUUACAUUCCUAGUGCCAGGACCCAUCUCGGGUAACAAAAUCUGAGACAAGUCAAGGUAACAGAGGCAGCUGUUUGAAUAGAUUCAUUGGAGAGUCUAAGGCAGCUCUCUGGGUCAAGCUGUAAAGGAGAUAAGAUAGAAAUAAUCACUCCAGGCCAGGCGCGAUGACUCACACCUGUAAUCCCAGCAUUUUGGGAGGCUGAGGCAGGCAGAUCACCGGAGGUCAGGAGUUUAAAACCAGCCUGGCCAACAUGGUGAAACCCCCAUCUCUACUAAAAAUACAAAAUUAGCCAGGCAUGGUGGCACACGCCUGUAAUCCCAGCUACCCAGGAGGCAGAGGCAGGAGAAUCACUAGAACGCAGGAGGCAGAGGUUGCAGUGAGCCGAGAUUGUGCCACUGCACUCCAGCCUGGGCGACAGAGUGAGACUCCGUCUCAAAAAAAAAAAGAAAAGAAAAGAAAGAAAGAAAAAGAAAUAGUCACUCCAGUACCACAGUAGACAGGCCUUGAAGGUACUAGGACCCUUUUAAUCAGACUUAGACAGCAUUUUUUGCCUCUGACCUUCUAGUUGAAACAAAAUUAGUUACCAGUAGACUUAAGGCGAAUGAUAUACGGCACAUAGGCACAUAACCCCAACCUAUGUAAGCACUAAGAAAAUUGUAACUCUUUGAGUUGGUCUGUUUGAAUUAUCUCUGGCCUUCUCCCUGUGUCUGGUUACAGUAAUAAAUUCCUUUCUUUCCUAGUUUGUCUGCUUCUCCUUAUCGGGCCUCAAGAAAACGCAGCCAGACCCAGUUUGGUUCCGGAAACAAUAUGAGUUCAUCCCUUUUUCCUUGUUCACUCAGCUCCCAUAUAUCUCUUAGGCAGAGAUUUUUAGGAGUUCACAAUGCACACAUUUCCUUCCCUCAAAAGGGGAAAAUAUAUAUAAAUGUAAAACGAAAAGAGCAAAUGGAACAACUACAAAAAGAAAAUGAAACUUAAGAUUAAAAAAUGCAGAUCCAAAAAUUUUUUUCUAAACUGGGAGAUUAAGAAACAAAAUAAAAUUCUCAAACAUUAAUAUAUGCCAGGUUUUUUUGAGACUACAGCUGGCUAUGUAUCAUGGCUGGUUCUUCUGUACAUUUUAAAUUGAUGGACAGAUUACACUAAAACAAUUCAGGGCCGGGCGAGGUGGCUGAAGCCUGUAAUCACAGGACUUUGGGAGGACGAGGCGGGCGGAUCACUUGAGGUCAGGAGUUUGAAACCAGCCUGGCCAACUUGGCGAAACUCCAUCUCUAAUAAAAAUACACAAAUUAGCUGGGUGUGGUGGUACACACCUGUAGUCCCAGCUACUUGAGAAGCUGAGGCAGGAGUAUCACUUGAUCCCAGGAGGCGGACGUUGCAGUAAGCCGAGAUCGUGCCACUGCACUCCAGCCUGGGUGACAGAGCAAGACUCCUUCUGAAAAAAAGAAAAAGAAAAGGAAUUCAGAGCUCAGAUGGUCAACUUAUAACUUUAGAGUUAGCACACAGAGCCUUCUAAGUUCUCUGUUUUUUUUUCUGCCCACUUUAAAUCUGCUAACUUUUCUACUGGUAUUGAGAUAAAGCUCACUGUUUAUGGUAUUGCUAAUGCAAAAUUACUUAGAGAUUUUGUGUGUGUGUGUGUUUUUGACAAUUCAGACAGUUCUAACUAAAAUAUAAACAUUAAAAUGUUAACCCUAAGAUCAUUUAGAACUAAAGAAAAAAGGGGCAGAAGAUGUUUUUAAAAUCAAACUGCCAUAAGAAUUGCUUUACCCAAAAUUUUGAUCCACAGCCUUCAUUAAGUUAUCUGUUGAGACAAAGUUUAAGCCAUGUAAACAAGUUCCAAUUUUGUCAUCUGUAAUAUGGAUCCAACUGUCUUUUAUAAACUAGUAAGUUUAUGCUACUCUCUCAUGACUAAAAUUCUAAAAUAAAUACUAUAAAGUCUUUAUGUGUGUGUAUAUGUUUGUUUAGAUGUGUUUAAAUAUAUGUACAUAUAUUGUUAUAUGUUGUAUCUAUAUGCUACAAAACUGACUUAUAAAUAGAUGAGUGCUCAUAAAUUACUAAACCCAAGUAUGUUCCAAGUUUAUAUGACUUAAAGAAGUCUUUAAUAAAUAAGUUGAUGUUCAAAUUAUUGAUAAGAUAAACAUUUAAAUGUCUUUAAAAUUGUCAACGUACAUUUUUGUCUGAGUUUACUGGUCAGAAAGUUUUGUAUUUCUCUCCACUAGAUAUUUUAAGGUGCCUGGGUUUGACACAAAGGUUAUAAGACUAUAAAUCUGGUCAAAACCAAAUGAUCUUUGUUUGUGCAAUUUUAAUAAAUAAGACAUUUAAUAUUGUUAGCUUAAUAAAAACAGCUAAAUCUUCUGAGUUGUUGACAAAAUACCCAUAUUUUAAUUUAAGUUUCUCACUCGGGUGAACACCUGAUAAUCACAGGCUAUAAAAAUGUUUAACAUAACCAUACAUAACUUUUGAUAAUGACUAACUUUGUCUAAUAUCUAAGUUUUCAUAAAUAGUCUAGUCAACCUAUUAAAAAUAAAUAAAUUGGGUAAGCAUAAAUGAGAUAAAUGCUUAUUAAAAACUUUUUGUGUAAUUCAAAAUCUUAAAGUUAUGUUAAAUUAAAUAAUAGAUACUCAUUAAACAUCUGGGUCAUUUCUAAUUAAGAAAAAAUUAUGUCCAAGCUGAGAGCCAGAUCAAGAAUGCAACCCCAUUCACAAUAGCCACAAAAGAAUAAAAUAACUAAGAAUGCCGUUUUUUUGUUUUUGUUUUUGAGACAGAGUCUCGCUCUGUCACCCAGGCUGGAGCGUAGUGGUGCGAUCUAGGUUUACUGCAAGCUCCGCCUCCCAGGUUCACACCAUUCUCCUGCCUCAGCCUCCCGAGUAGCUGGGACUAUA